RNAcentral lists this ribosomal RNA (717 nucleotides) under uncultured bacterium. RNAcentral describes it as "bacterial SSU rRNA". It matches the Rfam family "Bacterial small subunit ribosomal RNA", at positions 62 to 757 of the family's 1533-position model. The record is from RNAcentral.
UCGAACGCGAAAGUUCCCUUCGGGGAACAAGUAGAGUGGCGCACGGGUGAGUAACACGUAGGUAAUCUACCUUCGGAUUGGGAAUAACAACCGGAAACGGUUGCUAAUACCGAAUAAUGCAGCGGCACCUAAUGGUGACAGUUGUUAAAGCGGGGGAUCGCAAGACCUCGCGUCUGAAGAGGAGCCUGCGGCGGAUUAGCUAGUUGGUAAGGUAAUGGCUUACCAAGGCGAUGAUCCGUAGCCGGCCUGAGAGGGCGGUCGGCCACACUGACACUGACAUACGGGUCAGACUCCUACGGGAGGCAGCAGUCGGGAAUUUUGGGCAAUGGGCGAAAGCCUGACCCAGCAACGCCGCGUGAAGGAUGAAAUCCCUCGGGAUGUAAACUUCGCAAGAACGGGAAGAAUAAGUGAGAGCUAACAUCUCUUACGAUGACGGUACUGUUUGUAAGCUCCGGCUAACUCCGUGCCAGCAGCCGCGGUAAUACGGGGGGAGCAAGCGUUGUUCGGAUUUACUGGGCGUAAAGGGCGCGUAGGCGGCCACCGCAAGUCGACUGUGAAAUCUCCGGGCUUAACCCGGAAAGGUCAGCCGAUACUGCGGGGCUAGAGUGCAGAAGGGGCAACUGGAAUUCUCGGUGUAGCGGUGAAAUGCGUAGAUAUCGAGAGGAACACCUGCGGCGAAGGCGGGUUGCUGGGCUGACACUGACGCUGAUGCGCGAA